This 608-nucleotide long non-coding RNA is filed under the name Rattus norvegicus (Norway rat). Its description in RNAcentral is "long non-coding RNA NONRATT024606". The record is from RNAcentral. Lineage: Eukaryota; Metazoa; Chordata; Mammalia; Rodentia; Muridae.
UAAUCAGAAACUUCACUGGACCAAUUUUUCAACACUUCAAUAUUUCCUAAUGAAUCCACAUGAAGCUAUUAAUUUCCCUGAGUUGUUGAUAUCUACCUACAUCGUCAUAUAUAUAUAUGUAUAUAUAUAUAUAUAUGUGUGUGUGUGUGUGUGUGUGUGUAUGUAUAUACAUAUAUAUGUAUGUGUAUAUAUAUAUAUAUAAUGACUUCACUGUGACUUGAUUUAUUUGUUUUUCCUUGUAAUUUUUUUCAUUAACCUGUGAUGUCUUUAAAAUUCUCUUUUACAUUUGAUGUCUCCAAGUGCACAUGGAAGAGCUGUUGUCUAGUAUUAGUCUUUCAAGCUGCUUCUGUGGCGAAAGAAUGUAGAUUGUGCAGUACCCACCAUUGGCAAUGUAGAUUGAUGUUCUGAAUGGUCAAGUACAUUAAACUUAUCUGUGACUGCUUGAGAAUAAUUUACAUUCCUAAAGAGCAGAUUUCUAUAUUUAUCCUUUUAGACUGGGUUUGUUUUGUUUGUUUGUUUAGGGUUGGGGGUUUUUGUUUGUAUUCUGUAUUUGUAUUUUGUUUGUUUUUCUCAAAUAAUCCAUUUCUGGGGACCAUAUAACAUUAAAA